Myodes glareolus (Bank vole) is the source of this 1115-nucleotide non-coding RNA. NCBI's taxonomy places the organism in Eukaryota, Metazoa, Chordata, Mammalia, Rodentia, Cricetidae. The record is from RefSeq and is a predicted model, not a curated record.
GUCAUGGGGCACGCGGGCAGCUCUAGAUGAAGAACCCAGAAGUAGCACAAUGCUUGUCAUGAAAAGAUGCGGCAUCUGACUCCUACGGUCCACUAAACCAUUUCAGAAACUGGGAGCCCAGGACCUGCUGCCUCCGGCGUCCGUCUCUAGUUCUGGAGAUCUGAACCCGGGAAAGGUCCUGCUUACCCCACACGACCCAUCCCACUCCUGUGUUUCCCGUCUCUGGGGCUCCUGGAAUAAUUUCACAUCAGCAGACAUGUCUUCAUUGGUUUCUACUCUUGGUAUCUCUUGAUAGAAGAUUUGAUUUCCACGAGAGCUCGAAGCUGGGUCCUCCAUUCACAGAACACUUCCUGCCGGUCCAGAAGGAGUGGGGUCCUCCAUUCACAGAACACUUUCUGCCGGUCCAGAAGGAGUGGGGUCCUCCAUUCACAGAACACUUCCUGCCGGUCCAGAAGGAGUGGGGUCCUCCACUCACAGAACACUUCCUGCCGGUCCAGGAGUGGGGUCCUCCACUCACAGAACACUUCCUGCCGGUCCAGAAGGAGUGGGGUCCUCCAUUCACAGAACACUUCCUGCCGGUCCAGAAGGAGUGGCCGCUACACCAGAAUGCGGACAUUGACACCAAUAAUGCUCAGUAUCUUUGGAUACCUUCCAGUAACUGAAAGUCAACAGACAUUUCCCAAAGAAUCAAAUUUACUGUUUUCCUGAGACUCAAUCCCAAACACAGCUCAAAUAACAUGUCCCAGAGUCACCUGCCAAUCACACACACUAAGCCCACGGGGUCAGAAGACAGCACUGGCCCAUGCCCAUAUGCGUGUCCUAAGGCUACAAUUAGGGACUAGUAAUUUUUUUUAUCUUGUCUUUUGAGCUCCAGCCCCCUACAGUACUGGAAAGCCCUGGCACCUGCACAAAACGCCAUGCCCAGCUCUGCUGACUGGAGUCCACGUGCUUCCCUCUCGGCGCUGACUGACUGACACCACGUGCUUCCCUCCCAGCUUUGUUCUCUCCCUCUGUAAGUUUUAACUCUGGAAUAGAAAAGCAUAAAGAAAAAACUGAGAAUGGUUGUUUUCUCAGUUCUAGCCCAAACUGUGAAUAAACUAGUUUGCCCAUUUUGA